RNAcentral lists this ribosomal RNA (472 nucleotides) under uncultured bacterium. RNAcentral describes it as "bacterial SSU rRNA". It matches the Rfam family "Bacterial small subunit ribosomal RNA", at positions 28 to 501 of the family's 1533-position model. The record is from RNAcentral.
GACGAACGCUGGCGGCGUGCCUAACACAUGCAAGUCGAGCGGGGAUUUAUGGAUGAAGUUUUCGGAUGGAUUUCAUAAAUUCUAGCGGCGGACGGGUGAGUAACGCGUGAGCAACCUGCCUAUCACUGGGGAAUAACGCAGCGAAAGUUGUGCUAAUACCGCAUGAGACCACAAUGUCGCAUGGCAAAGGGGUCAAAGAUUUAUCGGUGAUAGAUGGGCUCGCGUCUGAUUAGCUAGUUGGUGAGGUAACGGCCCACCAAGGCGACGAUCAGUAGCCGACCUGAGAGGGUGACCGGCCACAUUGGGACUGAGACACGGCCCAAACUCCUACGGGAGGCAGCAGUGGGGAAUAUUGCACAAUGGGCGAAAGCCUGAUGCAGCGACGCCGCGUGAACGAAGAAGUAUUUCGGUAUGUAAAGUUCUAUCAGCAGGGAAGAUAAUGACGGUACCUGACCAAGAAGCACCGGCUAAA